UCCUACGGGAGGCAGCAGCCGCGGUAAUACGUAGGUGGCAAGCGUUGUCCGGAAUUACUGGGUGUAAAGGGAGCGCAGGCGGGAAGCCAAGUCAGCUGUGAAAACUACGGGCUUAACUUGUAGACUGCAGUUGAAACUGGUUUUCUUGAGUGAAGUAGAGGUUGGCGGAAUUCCGAGUGUAGCGGUGAAAUGCGUAGAUAUUCGGAGGAACACCGGUGGCGAAGGCGGCCAACUGGGCUUUAACUGACGCUGAGGCUCGAAAGUGUGGGGAGCAAACAGGAUUAGAUACCCCGGUAGUCCGUAGA
This 305-nucleotide ribosomal RNA is filed under the name uncultured bacterium. RNAcentral describes it as "bacterial SSU rRNA". It matches the Rfam family "Bacterial small subunit ribosomal RNA", at positions 499 to 801 of the family's 1533-position model. The record is from RNAcentral.